This 236-nucleotide long non-coding RNA is filed under the name Hordeum vulgare. Its description in RNAcentral is "long non-coding RNA (HVUL_LNC007395)". Lineage: Eukaryota; Viridiplantae; Streptophyta; Magnoliopsida; Poales; Poaceae. The record is from RNAcentral.
GUGCAUGUUUAUCAUUAGGCAUGCAACUACAAGUGUCAUUUCGACUGCAACCACAUAUCUUCAACAUGUCUGUAACUUAGUGGUGUUUUGUCAUCAAGAGGGCAGUUGCAUGUGAGGGAGUCCGGGACUAAGGGGUCCUUGUGCCGCUGACCUAUUUUUGUGGGCCGAACUCAUGGGCCGCCCUGUAAUUAUCAUUGUAGCCAGAAUUACAAGAGGACACCGUAUCCAGAGCAAAC